Sycon ciliatum is the source of this 458-nucleotide long non-coding RNA. RefSeq lists it as uncharacterized. The record is from RefSeq and is a predicted model, not a curated record. The transcript is spliced from 3 exons. NCBI's taxonomy places the organism in Eukaryota, Metazoa, Porifera, Calcarea, Leucosolenida, Sycettidae.
UUAUUUCGUGCUUUCCUUCCUUAGUUUCUUACUCAAUGCUGCCGAUACAGUCCAGUAACGUUACAUGUCCCGUUGUCCUAUCUGUGAGCCAGAUCUACAUGUCAAGCGUAUCGCUCCAAGCAUUUGCGAAGUAAGCCAAGCAGACCACACAAGGCAACGGACAAGGUAGAAAAGAACAAGAAGACCAAGAACCCCGGUGAAUCUAAUCCUUACCAGGUCAUUCCGUUGAGGACCGGGAAUACAAGGCCAGGCUUCUGAGCAAACCUUGGCAACGGACGGUCAACAGCAUAUUGACUAUUGAUACCACUUCAAGGGAAUUAACGUCAGCCGCGUGUAGAAUGGAGAGUGCUGUAUUCAACGUGUGGCCAGGCCAUUUACUGCCCUUAUUGUCCUUGCGGGACAUCAUCCAGCUGUGUGGAACCUCCAAGCAUUUGAAGGCGCUGCUAAUCAAUGAAAAC